This 368-nucleotide unclassified non-coding RNA is filed under the name soil metagenome. RNAcentral describes it as "partial contains 5.8S ribosomal RNA, internal transcribed spacer 2, and large subunit ribosomal RNA". The stretch from base 1 to 119 matches the Rfam family "5.8S ribosomal RNA", at positions 35 to 154 of the family's 154-position model. The record is from RNAcentral.
GAUGAAGAACGUAGCGAAAUGCGAUAAGUAAUGUGAAUUCAGAAUUCAGUGAAUCAUCGAAUCUUUGAACGCACAUUGCGCCCGCCAGCACUCUGGCGGGCAUGCCUGUUCGAGCGUCAUUUCGACCAUCAGGCCCUCCGGGCUUGUGUUGGGGCUCCCUGCGGCUGUCCGCAGGCCCUGAAAACCAGUGGCGGGCUUGCAAAGUCACACCGAGCGCAGUAGAUUUUUUUCAUCUCGCUCAGGGCGUGCGUGCGGGCGCCGGCCGUAAAAGACGAGAGCGCGGCCUCGGCCGCCCACAAAUACCACAAGGUUGACCUCGGAUCAGGUAGGAAUACCCGCUGAACUUAAGCAUAUCAAUAAGCGGAGGA